GUCCACGCCGUAAACGCUGAUCACUUGGUGUUGGAGGUAUUGACCCCUUCAGUGCCGAAGCUAACGCGUUAAGUGAUCCGCCUGGGGAGUACGGCCGCAAGGUUAAAACUCAAAGAAAUUGACGGGGGCCCGCACAAGCGGUGGAGCAUGUGGUUUAAUUCGAUGCAACGCGCAGAACCUUACCUGGGCUUGACAUGUAGUGGACAGGUACUAGAGAUAGUCCUUCUCUUCGGAGCUGCUACA
This 243-nucleotide ribosomal RNA is filed under the name uncultured bacterium. RNAcentral's name for it is "partial 16S ribosomal RNA". It matches the Rfam family "Bacterial small subunit ribosomal RNA", at positions 793 to 1034 of the family's 1533-position model. The record is from RNAcentral.